This 1056-nucleotide long non-coding RNA is filed under the name Lepidothrix coronata (blue-crowned manakin). RNAcentral's name for it is "lncRNA (ENSLCOG00000009174.1)". The record is from RNAcentral. Lineage: Eukaryota; Metazoa; Chordata; Aves; Passeriformes; Pipridae.
CAUGGUCACAGAGGUUUGUCACUCUAAGCUCAGCCCACUGUUCUGUAGCACCAAAGUGGGCCCUGUCCCUUCCCAGCAGCGCCUUUAGGACCUGCUCUCACUGCUGCACCCGGGUGUAGGUGGGGUUUCUGUGCUGUCACCUCUGACUUCUUACACUCCUCUUCCUCCUGCUCACUUUGUCACUGGCACUUGGGUGUUUUGGGGUACCACACCCUCGGGGUCCCAGCUGCUCCCAGGGCACAGCACCGGGGGGAACAGAGAAGCACCAGGUGUUGUGCAGAGCUCACCUGGCCAGGAGCAGUGCCUCACCUCCUUCCCACGAGCACUGAGAAGGGCACACUGGUGUUUCCAGCCUGCAGCCACACGGGCACCUGGUCCCAGGGUGGAGCAGCCAGCCCAGGGCAUGGCUCGAAGGGCACGGCCACGCCAGCGUUUGUGCAAAGGAAAGGGACCAGGAUUCCGUGGGAGUGUGAUGGAACACAGGGAGAACCUGCUGCUGGGAGCUGCCCCAGCACUCCCUGGAACAUCCCACCCCAGGCUGCUCCACUGACGUUUUCCAGGAACAACAGAAGGAAGAGGCAGCUUAUUGUGCUUAAGACAUCUGAACAAAUCCUGGGUAGGAGACACUCACAGCUUGUGAAUAUUGCUAAUUACUUACAGUUAAGAAAGGAUGGAUCCUGACAGGGACAGGGCCCUGUGGGCCCCCAGGACCUCACGGUGAGUCUGGGCCAUCCCCGCCCUGAGGGUCCCCGCGCUCACGGCCGGUGCCCCCGCGGGGCCGCGGCUCCUGCUUGCCCGCAAACAAGGUGAGCUCGUGCCAGGCCGGGGGUCCUGCUGACCCACCCUCUGCUUGGCGCCCUCAGGGAGAGCUGGGAGGAGCUCCCUGCCCUUGGGAAAGGCCCCCACCAGCCCCUGGGGUGGGAGCAGCUGCCAGCCCACCCAUUCCUCCAGGGAAGGAAAGCUCGGGCAGGCCAGGCAGGGGAGUGAGCUUGUCCAGCUCUCCCCUCAGACUACAAUUGAAAGGUUAAAUAUGAAUAAAUGCUGUAGGUUUAUACA